GUGCCCUCGAGGAAUAGGUUCUAGGUAGAUAGAUCUAAGCGGCCCAGAGCCCGACACCAGCUGCCAUGGCAGGAGGAAGUGGAGGAGCUGGGGGAGGAACAGGGGGAGGGGACUCGUUGGCUCGCAGGGCCUGGAGGCAGUACCUGCUCCAGCUGCAGCGCCACCCACUCCGCACCAAGAUGGUCACUGCGGGGUGCCUCGCAGGCGUCAGCGACUCCGUGGCGCAGAAGCUCUCUGGAUAUCAGAAGAUUGAGAAGCGCCGCCUCCUGCUCAAGAUGAUAUUUGGGUUUGCAUAUGGUGGCCCAUUUGGGCAUUUCCUGCAUAAAGUGUUGGAUUAUAUCUUUAAAGGGAAGAAGGAUACCAAAACUGUAGCUAAGAAGGUAUAACUUUGACCAUCUUAGAGCAUCUGCAACCGGACCCCCAACUUUCCCCCUAUAUGUCUGGGGAGACAGCCGGUCAUGAGAGAGAAGGAAAAAAGUCACCCAACCAGGCCCCUCAAAUUGUCCUCAUGUGUCCGGGUUGUCCACGAACCCUCAUAUCCAGCCCAUAUGCGGGGAGGAUAUGAGGGCGCUCGGGCAUGUCCGGGCAGUCCACGCUGGAUUUGGCCCACCACGAACCACUUUUUCUCUUUGUUUAUUGUUUCUUUUCUGAUGCGUCCGCGGAAGUAUAGGACGUCAAAUUAGCUCAGUCCGGUUGUAGAUGCUCUUAUAAUCAACACCAUUGUUCACUUCUUUCUUGUGGUGGCCAUGUAUAAAAAGUUCUGCUGCCAAUGAUAGUGCACAUAUAAGUAAAGCACAGUACAUCAUGGUAUUGCAAAGGUUUGACUUUAAUUUCCCGCAAAAAAAGUGUGAAUUUACCAUACUAGUAAAGCAUCAGCAACUUAGUCUAUGAUAUCUGUUGCCAGCAAAUUUUCCCACAUCACGAUUGAAGUCAAACAAGCACUGGUGGACAAUCUGUACUUGAUGGUAUGUCAGAAUACUUUGAGAUGUUUCGUACUAUUUUCAGGUGUUGCUGGAGCAGAUCACUUCCUCUCCCUGGAACAAUUUACUCUUCAUAUUCUAUUAUGGAUAUGUUGUUGAGAGUAAGUCUGUAAGUGUCAAAUAGUUUGAUUUUGUACCAAUCGGAAGAGUUCCUUUGGCAUCAUACCAUGCCAACUGCCAAUGAUGAUUUGAAAUUUUACUUGCCAUCUUUCGAGUAUGUUACCUUGAUAUAGCAGGAGGUAUUAGCAUAGUAGAGUUUAGAAAACCGUUUACUGAACAAAACAUAAGAACCAGGCUUUUCUGUACUUUUCUCAGCUUGUUGGUCCAGAAUAUCCCUUCGAGUUUCUUUCCUCCUAGUCAUGACGUUUGAAACAUACAGCAAACCUUAUUAAACAUAUUCCCCUUAAUAUUGGAGGUCAUAUAGAUCUAGGGUCCAAAGACCGAUCAAUUAUAUCUCUGUGUGACCGAGAUAUCUGUAAACUGGGGGAAUCAGUUUAAUCCUACCAGUUGCCUGAAUCAUGUAAUAGUGUUGUGUGUUCCAGUAAGAUGGUUGCCUUUAAAUCGAAUGGAGUAGCUACUCAUGGGUUAUUGACAAGUCGGAAUGCAGAGAGGCCUUUCAAGGAGGUGAAGACUAGGGUGAAGAAACAAUAUCUGUCAGUGCAAUUGUCUGCUUGGAUGUUUUGGCCAGUAGUUGGUUGGAUAAACCAUCAGUACGUGCCUUUGCAGUUUCGGGUGAUUGUCCACAGCUUUGUUGCAUGUUGCUGGGGGAUAUUUCUCAACCUUCGCGCCAGAGCCAUGUCUUUGAAGCAGUCAUAGACAGAUUAGUGGGGGUAUAACACUGCUCCAUCAUGGUUCAAACUGGCCGGAGAACAAGGAUGCUGAUUGCUAUGUAAUAUACCGUUGAUUGUCCUAGGGUAUUUAAAUAGUAGGAUUUCGAUACCUGUUUGGUAUCAAGUUGCAGAUUUGUUUGUCAACGCAUGCGAGGCCGCUUAUCUGAUUUCUCUGUUGGUACUAUUUAAGCUUUGUGACUGAAACGUAAUUGAAUUAUAUUAGCUAUGGAUAUAUUCGGUCUACUUCGGAGAGCAAAUAAUUGUUUUUUUCAUGAGUGG
RNAcentral lists this ribosomal RNA (2089 nucleotides) under Triticum aestivum (bread wheat). Its description in RNAcentral is "partial small subunit ribosomal RNA". Lineage: Eukaryota; Viridiplantae; Streptophyta; Magnoliopsida; Poales; Poaceae. The record is from RNAcentral.